UAGAGGAUAUAGAGUUAGAGAGGAUAUAGAGGAUAUAGAGUUAUAGAGGAUAUAGAGUUAGAGAGGAUAUAGAGGAUAUAGAGUUAGAGAGGAUAUAGAGUUAGAGAGGAUAGAAAGGUUAGAGAGGAUAUAGAGGAUAUAGAGGAUAUUGUCACUUCCUGACCAGUAUAAGGAGUUAUUGGUUAUUGUAGUUUGGUCAAGAUGUGGCAGGGGGUAUUUGUUUUAUGUGGUUCGGGGUUUAAUGGGAUAUGUAUUUAUGUAAGAGGGGUGUUUGAUUUAUGUGUUCCGGGGUUUUUGGGUAAUGUUCUUGUUUUGUAUUUCUAUGGUUUUCUAUGUUGUGUAUUUCUUUGUUUGGCCUGUAUGGCUCUCAAUCGGGAACAGCUGUACAUCAUUGUUGCUGAUUGAGAGUCAUACUAAGGUAGCCCUGUUUUCACCUGUCCCUUUGUGGGAAGUUGUUGUUGUACUGCUGUGUGUUAGCCUGCAACACUGUUCGUUCG
Molecule: long non-coding RNA, 497 nt
Filed under: Salmo salar (Atlantic salmon)
Lineage: Eukaryota; Metazoa; Chordata; Actinopteri; Salmoniformes; Salmonidae
Description: lncRNA (ENSSSAG00000111934.1)
Source: RNAcentral